RNAcentral lists this ribosomal RNA (821 nucleotides) under uncultured cyanobacterium. Its description in RNAcentral is "bacterial SSU rRNA". It matches the Rfam family "Bacterial small subunit ribosomal RNA", at positions 64 to 925 of the family's 1533-position model. Lineage: Bacteria; Bacillati; Cyanobacteriota. The record is from RNAcentral.
CGACGAACUCUUUCGAGAGUUAGUGGCGGACGGGUGAGUAACGCGUGAGAAUCUGCCUUCAGGAUGGGGAUAACAGUUAGAAAUGACUGCUAAUACCCGAUGUGCCGCAAGGUGAAAGGCGAAAGCCGCCGGAAGAGGAGCUCGCGUCUGAUUAGCUAGUUGGUGGGGUAAAAGCCUACCAAGGCAUCGAUCAGUAGCUGGUUUGAGAGGACGAUCAGCCACACUGGGACUGAGACACGGCCCAGACUCCUACGGGAGGCAGCAGUGGGGAAUUUUCCGCAAUGGGCGAAAGCCUGACGGAGCAAUACCGCGUGAGGGAGGAAGGCUCUUGGGUUGUAAACCUCUUUUGCUCGGGAAGAACAAAUGACGGUACCGAGCGAAUAAGCAUCGGCUAACUCCGUGCCAGCAGCCGCGGUAAUACGGAGGAUGCAAGCGUUAUCCGGAAUUAUUGGGCGUAAAGCGUCCGCAGGUGGCAUGACAAGUCUGCUGUCAAAGACCGAAGCUUAACUUCGGGAAGGCAGUGGAAACUGUCAAGCUAGAGUACGGUAGGGGUAGAGGGAAUUCCCAGUGUAGCGGUGAAAUGCGUAGAGAUUGGGAAGAACAUCGGUGGCGAAAGCGCUCUACUAGGCCGUAACUGACACUCAGGGACGAAAGCUAAGGUAGCGAAUGGGAUUAGAUACCCCAGUAGUCUUAGCUGUAAACGAUGGAUACUAGGCGUAGCUUGUAUCGACCCGAGCUGUGCCGAAGCUAACGCGUUAAGUAUCCCGCCUGGGGAGUACGCACGCAAGUGUGAAACUCAAAGGAAUUGACGGGGGCCCGCA